CCCUUAGAUGUUCUGGGCCGCACGCGUGCUACACUGAGUAAUUCAAUGGGUAAGGGAACGCUAGAGCAUUACCUAAUCUUGAAAUUUGCUCGUGAUGGGGAUCGACGGUUGCAAUUUUCCGUCGUGAACGAGGAAUACCUUGUAGGCGCAUGUCAUCAUCAUGCGCCGAAUACGUCCCUGCCCUUUGUACACACCGCCCGUCGCUCCUACCGAUUGAGUGAUCCGGUGAGGCUCUGGGACCUGGACGGAAAGAGCGUUUCGCUUGUUCUGUUUGGGAAACUCGGUCGAACCUUAUCAUUUAGAGGAAGGAGAAGUCGUAACA
This 322-nucleotide ribosomal RNA is filed under the name uncultured eukaryote. RNAcentral's name for it is "partial 18S ribosomal RNA". It matches the Rfam family "Eukaryotic small subunit ribosomal RNA", at positions 1470 to 1796 of the family's 1831-position model. The record is from RNAcentral.